GCGGACAUCCAAGAUACCAAUCGAUGAUGUUUUGACUGGAGUAUUUUUCAUCUCCUGUCCUAGCUCCCUUAUCAGGUGCCCUGUGUGACAGCGCGUCGAAAUAAUGAAAUCACGCCGGCCAUGAAAAUGCAACAACAAGUCAGUGCUCGGGAGACCUUGAUAUCAAGUGGUGACAGCCGCGUGUGUGUUUUUUUUGUGGUUAGGUUUUCGCGCCAAAGAUCCUGUGAUCCUUAAAUUUAGUCCAAAUUUUGUCGUAGUGAGUGCCCAUUCUCAAAACACCAGGAGCAAUUCGGAGCUGGCUACCUCUCGAGUUCAAAGUUUUAAGUAGCUGAUCAAUCAACUUCGAAAGUGGAGCUUUAAUGCCCCAGUUGGAGGAGGACACGCUUGACGAACUUUGGAUUUCUUCGGAAAUUAGAGUGACCCACGUUUACGUAUCAAAAUCUGACGGUGUUUACGGAAUCAUGGAUGAAAUCCAACCUGAACCAGAGCUGACAAUGGAUAUCGAUUCUGAGCCAGCUGAGUCUAUUGCGUCUACUUCGUUUGCAUCUACUUCAUUUGCGCCUACUUCGUUUGCAUCUACCUCAUUUGCGUCUACUUCGUUUGCACCUACCUCGGUAGCGUCUACUCCGACCGAGGUCAGUCAGCUUGGAGUUGAACACUGCUUCAGGCGGGUAUGAUAUUCGAAGCCAACAGAUCUGAAACACAGAGUAAUUGUGGUGCUUCAGUUCCACAUCUCUCAUUCGAUGUACUGUUUUAUACAGAAGACACCGUUUUAUGAGUGUGAAGUUUACGCGAAAUAAAUGUAUUUCACGCGUUCAGUGUGCACAUGUAUUAAUGCUGCAUGCUCGUAAAAAUUAAUUUAAAUAUUUAUAAAUGUUGUAUUUUUAGAAAAUUACUUUUCAGAAUGUUUCAUUUUUUUUUCUUUUUUUUUUUUAAAAAACACAUACCUAUUAUUUAGAUAGUUCGUCAAGUGUUAUAAAAUAAAUCAUUGUUCGAUUAAAAUGUUCUGCAUUCUUGUCAUUGGAAAG
Molecule: long non-coding RNA, 1028 nt
Filed under: Bemisia tabaci
Lineage: Eukaryota; Metazoa; Arthropoda; Insecta; Hemiptera; Aleyrodidae
Description: lncRNA ENSSSA3NGG008088
Source: RNAcentral